This 34-nucleotide transfer RNA is filed under the name Jordanita hector. RNAcentral describes it as "partial transfer RNA-Ser". Lineage: Eukaryota; Metazoa; Arthropoda; Insecta; Lepidoptera; Zygaenidae. The record is from RNAcentral. RNAcentral also lists the same sequence under 1 other name.
AAAACUUAAGAAAGAAUAUUAAUUCUAUUAAUUU